RNAcentral lists this ribosomal RNA (25 nucleotides) under Morus mongolica var. diabolica. RNAcentral's name for it is "partial 18S ribosomal RNA". The record is from RNAcentral. Lineage: Eukaryota; Viridiplantae; Streptophyta; Magnoliopsida; Rosales; Moraceae.
AAGCAUAAAGACCAGCGGACCCAUU